ACAGUUAUUUGAAAAUGUCCUCGCUUAUUACACACCGGUGCGGCAUGAACUGAAGUUAGCUUGCUCGGCUUUCUUCUCCCGAAUAACUGUUUCCAUGCCCGCUUUGAGGUUUUCUCAGCGCUCGUGUGCGCGGUAUACCGUGUUGUCAGACGUGGAAUUCGACUAAACAAUGCAAGCCUAUACUAUGUUAGUAUGACUGUACAUGUACCGGUAACAGCAAUAAUUAUUUCUAGCAGCGACAGCAUUAUAGCAACGAAAGCAGCGACAGCAGCAAUGCAGACCAACAUUACAAUACCGGCGAAGCCAGAAGUCAGUUAAACCUAUCGAUAUCUGGUUGAAGUGUGCUGGUCGUAGUCACAUGAACACAAUAAACUGCGAGCCAGCAGCAUGGCUGCAAUCCACGACCGCGAUAAGCCAGUACCUGACCUCAUCUGCUGUCCACCAGUUUCGUGGCGAGCCGUUCCCGGCAACGAAUCCUGCGCCAACGUCACGAUGAACUAUUUCCCCCCUUGCCGAUCUAAGCCUUAUGGGCGGGUGGAGCCAUGGAGCAACCAGUCAAGCAUUAUCACAACGCAAUGAUGUGUGAAGACAAACCAGCAACAACCUGGCAGCCAUUCUGCAAUCAUCAGCAGUCGUGCUAUCAACAUUCAGGGUCUGGCAAUACCAUUGCUUCAGUGGACAUGCCGUUGCUUUGGUGGUGCUGUGCA
Molecule: long non-coding RNA, 707 nt
Organism: Sycon ciliatum
Lineage: Eukaryota; Metazoa; Porifera; Calcarea; Leucosolenida; Sycettidae
Exons: 3
Source: RefSeq, a predicted model, not a curated record